This 468-nucleotide ribosomal RNA is filed under the name uncultured bacterium. Its description in RNAcentral is "partial 16S ribosomal RNA". It matches the Rfam family "Bacterial small subunit ribosomal RNA", at positions 28 to 507 of the family's 1533-position model. The record is from RNAcentral.
GACGAACGCUGGCGGCGUGCUUAACACAUGCAAGUCGAACGGAAAGGCCCUGCUUUUGUGGGGUGCUCGAGUGGCUAACGGGUGAGUAACACGUGAUUAACCUGCCCUUGACUUUGGGAUAACUUCAUGAAACUGGGGCUAAUACCGGAUAGGAGCUCCUGCUGCAUGGUGGGGGUUGGAAAGUUUCGGCGGUUGGUGAUGGACUCGCGGCUUAUCAGCUUGUUGGUGGGGUAGUGGCUUACCAAGGCUUUGACGGGUAGCCGGCCUGAGAGGGUGACCGGACACAUUGGGACUGAGAUACGGCACAGACUCAUACGGGAGGCAGCAGUGGGGAAUAGUGCACAAUGGGCGGAAGCCUGAUGCAGCAAAGCCGCGUGCGGGAUGACGGCCUUCGGGUUGUAAACCGCUUUCGCCUGUGACGAAGCGUGAGUGACGGUAAUGGGUAAAGAAGCACCGGCUAACUACGUG